RNAcentral lists this ribosomal RNA (427 nucleotides) under uncultured bacterium. RNAcentral describes it as "partial 16S ribosomal RNA". It matches the Rfam family "Bacterial small subunit ribosomal RNA", at positions 355 to 774 of the family's 1533-position model. The record is from RNAcentral.
UGGGGAAUAUUGCACAAUGGGCGCAAGCCUGAUGCAGCCAUGCCGCGUGUGUGAAGAAGGCCUUCGGGUUGUAAAGCACUUUCAGCGAGGAGGAAGGGUAGUGUGUUAAUAGCACAUUGCAUUGACGUUACUCGCAGAAGAAGCACCGGCUAACUCCGGGCCAGCAGCCGCGGUAAUACGGAGGGUGCAAGCGUUAAUCGGAAUUACUGGGCGUAAAGCGCACGCAGGCGGUUUGUUAAGUCAGAUGUGAAAUCCCCGCGCUUAACGUGGGAACUGCAUUUGAAACUGGCAAGCUAGAGUCUUGUAGAGGGGGGUAGAAUUCCAGGUGUAGCGGUGAAAUGCGUAGAGAUCUGGAGGAAUACCGGUGGCGAAGGCGGCCCCCUGGACAAAGACUGACGCUCAGGUGCGAAAGCGUGGGGAGCAAACA